Molecule: ribosomal RNA, 496 nt
Filed under: uncultured bacterium
Lineage: Bacteria
Description: partial 16S ribosomal RNA
Rfam family: Bacterial small subunit ribosomal RNA
Source: RNAcentral
AUGCACGCUGGCGGCGUGCCUCAUCCACGCCAGUCGCGCGAACAGACGAGGAGCUUGCUCCUCUGACGUUAGCGGCGGACGGGUGAGUAACACGUGGAUAACCUACCUAUAAGACUGGGAUAACUUCGGGAAACCGGAGCUAAUACCGGAUAAUAUAUUGAACCGCAUGGUUCAAUAGUGAAAGACGGUUUUGCUGUCACUUAUAGAUGGAUCCGCGCCGCAUUAGCUAGUUGGUAAGGUAACGGCUUACCAAGGCAACGAUGCGUAGCCGACCUGAGAGGGUGAUCGGCCACACUGGAACUGAGACACGGUCCAGACUCCUACGGGAGGCAGCAGUAGGGAAUCUUCCGCAAUGGGCGAAAGCCUGACGGAGCAACGCCGCGUGAGUGAUGAAGGUCUUCGGAUCGUAAAACUCUGUUAUUAGGGAAGAACAAAUGUGUAAGUAACUAUGCACGUCUUGACGGUACCUAAUCAGAAAGCCACGGCUAACUACGUG